This 1201-nucleotide long non-coding RNA is filed under the name Ananas comosus (pineapple). Its description in RNAcentral is "long non-coding RNA (ACOM_LNC013011)". Lineage: Eukaryota; Viridiplantae; Streptophyta; Magnoliopsida; Poales; Bromeliaceae. The record is from RNAcentral.
AGAAUUGUAUGCUUUUAGAAGUACGAUGGUCUUCAUGCUAUAGUCAUUUUCAAUACUGAGACUUUUGAAUCGAUGAUCGACUUCAUUAAACUUGAUCUAAAAUAUUUGAACUAUCUAGAAAAUAAAUUUUACAAUUUUUAAGUAUUAUUUACCUAAUGAUCAAAAUGGCCCAAAAUCAACAAUUUUAAUAAUUAUAGUGAGCCAUUUGCAAGUUUAACUACGGUAUAGAAAAUCCAAACCACGUAAAAUUUUGAUAAAAAAUUCUUUACACUAUAUAAAACCAGAUCAAUAUUUUUUAUUUAAAAUUUUACUGUCAUAUCAUCACUUUUUGUGAGAUUUUUAUUUUUCAACCGUAGAUUUUGAUAUCGAAAAAUCACACAAAUUUAUUUUUUAGAUACUUCCAAUAUUCUAAAUCAAAUCUAUUGGAGCCGAUCGUCAAUUCAGAAGUCCAAACAUCGAAAAUAACUUGAUAGCACGGAUGCCACCAUGCUUCUCAAAGCACAUAUGUCGGACACACUCUCUUUCUCUCUCUCUCUCUCUCUCUCUCUCUAUAUAUAUAUAUAUAAUAUAUAAAUAAACAAGUAGUCUCUCUCUCUAGGUCGUGGUUAUUAUACUAUUAUGAGUAUUGGAGCCCUCGUACUCAUAAGCUGUUUUCAAUGAUGGAGCUUCCGAAUUGACGAUCCACUCCGUUAAAUAUGAUCUAGAGUAUUUGAAACUUCUAGAAAAUAAAUUUCGUAAAUUUUCAAAAUCAUAAUAAAGUCCAUCAAGUGGGCAUAAAAUGAACGGUCAAAAUCGAACGAUGUCCUAAAAAAGGAUGAUCGGAUCCUUCAAUUCAAGAUCGGAGUUAUUGAUCUUUAUCUAUGUAGUGAAUAGAAUUUUCUAUCAAAAAUUCAACAAAUUCUGAUUCUUUUAUACCGUUAAACUAGCAAGUAUCCCAUACCGGCCAUUAAAAAUUGUCAAAUUUGUGAUCUCUCGAUCGUAAGGUAAAUGAUAUCGAAAAUUUAUAAAAUUUGAUUUCUGAAAGUUUUAAAUACUGUAAAUAACGUUUAACGGUGUGGAUCGUCGAUUCGGAAGCUCUAUCAUCGAAAACAACUUAUGAGUACGAGGGCGAUCGUACUCAUAAUAGGAUAGUAGCCGGACCCCCUCCCUCUCUCUAUAUAUAUAUAUAAUAUAUAUAAAUAAACAUGUAGACCCACAUCUC